AGUUACCUACAUGAUCAAAUCAAAUAAUUUUAGAACACAUUAAUAUUUAUAUAAUAAGAUUAAAAACCUUUGCAUCUCUGACCAUCAAUUAAUAAACCCAUGAGGUAUGAACUGUGUUAAGCAUUUUAUUUAUUUAUUUAUUUUGUUGAAAUGUAAAUACAUGAAAUACAAAAAUAAAUAAAACUAUCAUACUCAUCCUAUAACCUUUGAUAUUAUUAAUUUC
RNAcentral lists this long non-coding RNA (223 nucleotides) under Olea europaea (common olive). RNAcentral's name for it is "long non-coding RNA (OEUR_LNC015594)". Lineage: Eukaryota; Viridiplantae; Streptophyta; Magnoliopsida; Lamiales; Oleaceae. The record is from RNAcentral.